This 1372-nucleotide ribosomal RNA is filed under the name uncultured bacterium. RNAcentral describes it as "bacterial SSU rRNA". It matches the Rfam family "Bacterial small subunit ribosomal RNA", at positions 28 to 1381 of the family's 1533-position model. The record is from RNAcentral.
GAUGAACGCUGGCGGCGUGCCUAAUACAUGCAAGUCGAGCGAACGGACGAGAAGCUUGCUUCUCUGAUGUUAGCGGCGGACGGGUGAGUAACACGUGGAUAACCUACCUAUAAGACUGGGAUAACUUCGGGAAACCGGAGCUAAUACCGGAUAAUAUUUUGAACCGCAUGGUUCAAAAGUGAAAGACGGUCUUGCUGUCACUUAUAGAUGGAUCCGCGCUGCAUUAGCUAGUUGGUAAGGUAACGGCUUACCAAGGCAACGAUGCAUAGCCGACCUGAGAGGGCGAUCGGCCACACUGGAACUGAGACACGGUCCAGACUCCUACGGGAGGCAGCAGUAGGGAAUCUUCCGCAAUGGGCGAAAGCCUGACGGAGCAACGCCGCGUGAGUGAUGAAGGUCUUCGGAUCGUAAAACUCUGUUAUUAGGGAAGAACAUAUGUGUAAGUAACUGUGCACAUCUUGACGGUACCUAAUCAGAAAGCCACGGCUAACUACGUGCCAGCAGCCGCGGUAAUACGUAGGUGGCAAGCGUUAUCCGGAAUUAUUGGGCGUAAAGCGCGCGUAGGCGGUUUUUUAAGUCUGAUGUGAAAGCCCACGGCUCAACCGUGGAGGGUCAUUGGAAACUGGAAAACUUGAGUGCAGAAGAGGAAAGUGGAAUUCCAUGUGUAGCGGUGAAAUGCGCAGAGAUAUGGAGGAACACCAGUGGCGAAGGCGACUUUCUGGUCUGUAACUGACGCUGAUGUGCGAAAGCGUGGGGAUCAAACAGGAUUAGAUACCCUGGUAGUCCACGCCGUAAACGAUGAGUGCUAAGUGUUAGGGGGUUUCCGCCCCUUAGUGCUGCAGCUAACGCAUUAAGCACUCCGCCUGGGGAGUACGACCGCAAGGUUGAAACUCAAAGGAAUUGACGGGGACCCGCACAAGCGGUGGAGCAUGUGGUUUAAUUCGAAGCAACGCGAAGAACCUUACCAAAUCUUGACAUCCUUUGACAACUCUAGAGAUAGAGCUUUCCCCUUCGGGGGACAAAGUGACAGGUGGUGCAUGGUUGUCGUCAGCUCGUGUCGUGAGAUGUUGGGUUAAGUCCCGCAACGAGCGCAACCCUUAAGCUUAGUUGCCAUCAUUAAGUUGGGCACUCUAAGUUGACUGCCGGUGACAAACCGGAGGAAGGUGGGGAUGACGUCAAAUCAUCAUGCCCCUUAUGAUUUGGGCUACACACGUGCUACAAUGGACAAUACAAAGGGCAGCGAAACCGUGAGGUCAAGCAAAUCCCAUAAAGUUGUUCUCAGUUCGGAUUGUAGUCUGCAACUCGACUACAUGAAGCUGGAAUCGCUAGUAAUCGUAGAUCAGCAUGCUACGGUGAAUACGUUCCCGGGUCU